UUCGUCGAGGGGCGCUGCGACCUUGGCCGCCGGUGCGUUGCAUCGCGGUUUUCGGGCCAGGCUCGACGAAACGUUCCGUGUAACGGCGCCCGGUCAAG
RNAcentral lists this non-coding RNA (98 nucleotides) under Pseudoxanthomonas dokdonensis. Its description in RNAcentral is "SAH sequence". It matches the Rfam family "SAH (S-adenosyl-L-homocysteine) riboswitch aptamer". The record is from Rfam by way of RNAcentral. Lineage: Bacteria; Pseudomonadati; Pseudomonadota; Gammaproteobacteria; Lysobacterales; Lysobacteraceae.